RNAcentral lists this long non-coding RNA (453 nucleotides) under Mytilus galloprovincialis (Mediterranean mussel). Lineage: Eukaryota; Metazoa; Mollusca; Bivalvia; Mytilida; Mytilidae. The record is from RNAcentral.
UGUUUCCAGUUUUUGGAGAAAAAAAUAAUUUGUUUUUGAUUCUGAGAAAAAAAAAAUUGUUUGUUUCACCCUCAGCUGCCACUAUAUGUAAUGCUAAAAUUGAAAGAAAAAAAUAGAUUGUUUUUCGCCGCAGGCGAAAAAAAAAAUUUGUCCAGAAAAAAAAACCAUAGCCCCCCCCAGAAAAUCAAAUGGUUGCUGCCUAAGAAAAGUUCCAAAGAAAUCAGGGCAUUUUAUGAAAAAAUGGUGGGUUGAACCUGGUUUUGUGGCAUGCCAAACCUCCCGCUUUAAUGGCAGUGUUAAUUACGUGGUUAAUUAUAACAUUAAUAUGACAACAUUACACGACAGGGUUACAAUAAAUAAACAGAUAAAUAGGAGAAAAUAUAGGACAGAGAAACAAACAAACAAAAGUCUUAAAAAGUGUGUCAUAAUAGAAUCAAAUCGGUAAUUGGCAAA